UAGCUCAGAUGGUAAAGAAUCUGCCUGCAAAGCAGAAGACCCAGGUUCUAUCCCUGG
RNAcentral lists this transfer RNA (57 nucleotides) under Ovis aries (sheep). It matches the Rfam family "tRNA", at positions 8 to 63 of the family's 71-position model. From Rfam's summary of the family: Transfer RNA (tRNA) molecules are approximately 80 nucleotides in length. The record is from Rfam by way of RNAcentral. Lineage: Eukaryota; Metazoa; Chordata; Mammalia; Artiodactyla; Bovidae.